Molecule: ribosomal RNA, 253 nt
Filed under: uncultured bacterium
Lineage: Bacteria
Description: partial 16S ribosomal RNA
Rfam family: Bacterial small subunit ribosomal RNA
Source: RNAcentral
UACGGAGGGUGCAAGCGUUGUUCGGAAUCACUGGGCGUAAAGCGCACGUAGGCGGUCUGUUAUGUCGGAUGUGAAAGCCCUUGGCUUAACUGAGGAAGUGCAUCCGAAACUGGCAGGCUAGAGUACUAAAGAGGGUCGCGGAAUUCCCGGUGUAGAGGUGAAAUUCGUAGAUAUCGGGAGGAACACCGGUGGCGAAGGCGGCGACCUGGGUAGAUACUGACGCUGAGGUGCGAAAGCGUGGGGAGCAAACAGG